ACACUUGGCAGUAUCCUAACUUCUUCACUCUUGUCCACAUUUGUCUUGGCGCUCUGGGGAAGAAGAAAACAAACUCAAAGAAGCAAUUUUUCUGGAAACACACAAUUGCAGAAAGAGAUUCAGAGAGGCUGUUCCUGGUUUCUUGGCUAAGGUCCUUUCUACUAUCCAGACUACAUUGGCUCAGUCCAGGAGGAGUCAAAGAAGGCUGGAGUGCAAUGGCGCGAUCUUGGCUCACUGCAACCUCCGCCUUCCUGGUUCAAGUGAUUCUCCUGCCUCAGCCUCCUGAGUAGCUGGGAUAACAGACAUGCAUCACCACGACCAGAUUUGGAGCAUCCUCUGGCUCUAUUGCUAACUACCUGUGUGACCUUGAAGAAAUGCAUUAACCUCUGUAUCUAUGUUUCCUCAAAUUUAUAUGGGGCAAUCAUUCCUAUGAUUGCUUUGAAAAUUAAAUAUGGAAGUGUCAACAAAGCAUAUGGUGGAGGAUCUGGUGCUCAAAGAAUAUUAGUUAUCUUCCUUAAGGAACUUAUAAGGACACUGCAGCCCAGAGAAGAAACCUGCAAAGGCCGUGUUCACACACUCACAAGAGAUAUGGCUGUGAUUUGGAUCCAGAUGUGAUGGGCUGACAACAAAACUCCUGUGAUACCAUGAAGUCUUCGGGAGGCAGAAUUGAAGUGAACAUGAAGUUUAGCUUAGAGAAGAAAAGAAUAAAUACAUACAAAACAUUUGAUGGUGAAUAAACAGAAAAUGGUGUAUUCAACAGAAUUUGACUCAGCAAUAAAAAUGAACCAAACUAUGGAAAACAACACCCAACAACAGGAAGAAAUCUCAAAAUAAUUAUGGUGAGUGAAAGAGGCCAGACCAAAAAAAAAAAAAAAAAAAGACUAGAAAA
This is a long non-coding RNA of Homo sapiens (human), 889 nucleotides long. Ensembl annotates it as long intergenic non-protein coding RNA 1990. Lineage: Eukaryota; Metazoa; Chordata; Mammalia; Primates; Hominidae. The record is from Ensembl.